This 468-nucleotide ribosomal RNA is filed under the name uncultured bacterium. RNAcentral's name for it is "partial 16S ribosomal RNA". It matches the Rfam family "Bacterial small subunit ribosomal RNA", at positions 28 to 507 of the family's 1533-position model. The record is from RNAcentral.
GAUGAACGCUGGCGGCGUGCUUAACACAUGCAAGUCGAACGGAAAGGCCGAAGCUUGCUUCGGUACUCGAGUGGCGAACGGGUGAGUAACACGUGGGUGAUCUGCCCUGUACUUCGGGAUAGGCUUGGGAAACUGGGUCUAAUACCGGAUAUGACGAUCUCUUGGAUGGGGUUGUGGAAAGCUUUUGCGGUAUGGGAUGAGCUCGCGGCCUAUCAGCUUGUUGGUGGGGUAAUGGCCUACCAAGGCGUCGACGGGUAGCCGGCCUGAGAGGGUGUACGGCCACAUUGGAACUGAGAUACGGCCCAGACUCCUACGGGAGGCAGCAGGGGGGAAUAUUGCACAAUGGGCGCAAGCCUGAUGCAGCGACGCCGCGUGGGGGAUGACGGCCUUAGGGUUGUAAACUCCUUUCGCAAUCGACGAAGCCUUUUGGUGACGGUAGGUUGAGAAGAAGCACCGGCUAACUACGUG